Molecule: ribosomal RNA, 746 nt
Filed under: uncultured archaeon
Lineage: Archaea
Description: bacterial SSU rRNA
Rfam family: Archaeal small subunit ribosomal RNA
Source: RNAcentral
UCAUUGUAGCAUACAAGGCAUACGGCUCAGUAACGCGUAGUCAACCUAACCUAUGGACGGGAAUAACCUCGGGAAACUGAGAAUAAUGCCCGAUAGAACACUAUACCUGGAAUGGUUUGUGUUCCAAAUGAUUUAUCGCCAUAGGAUGGGACUGCGGCCUAUCAGUUUGUUGGUGAGGUAAUGGCCCACCAAGACUAUUACAGGUACGGGCUCUGAGAGGAGUAGCCCGGAGAUGGGUACUGAGACACGGACCCAGGCCCUAUGGGGCGCAGCAGGCGAGAAAACUUUGCAAUGUGCGAAAGCACGACAAGGUUAAUCCGAGUGAUUUGUGCUAAACGAAUCUUUUGUUAGUCCUAGAAACACUAACGAAUAAGGGGUGGGCAAGUUCUGGUGUCAGCUGCCGCGGUAAAACCAGCACCUCAAGUGGUCAGGAUGAUUAUUGGGCCUAAAGCAUCCGUAGCCGGCUCUGUAAGUUUUCGGUUAAAUCUGUACGCUUAACGUACAGGCUGCCGGGAAUACUGCAAAGCUAGGGAGUGGGAGAGGUAGACGGUACUCGGUAGGAAGUGGUAAAAUGCUUUGAUCUAUCGAUGACCACCUGUGGCGAACGCGGUCUACCAGAACACGUCCGACGGUGAGGGAUGAAAGCUGGGGGAGCAAACCGGGAUUAGAUACCCUGGUAGUCCCAGCUGUAACUAUGCAAGCUCAGUGAUGCAAUGCCUGUGUCGAUGCCAGUGCCUGCCAAGGGA